GGCUUGUUUUGACUUGCCUGUGCUUCCAGCCACACAGGCAGCUGAAGCAAGCCUG
RNAcentral lists this microRNA precursor (55 nucleotides) under Eptatretus burgeri (inshore hagfish). RNAcentral's name for it is "Ebu-Mir-1788_pre stem-loop". The record is from RNAcentral. Lineage: Eukaryota; Metazoa; Chordata; Myxini; Myxiniformes; Myxinidae.